RNAcentral lists this long non-coding RNA (1180 nucleotides) under Anas platyrhynchos platyrhynchos (common mallard). RNAcentral's name for it is "lncRNA (ENSAPLG00000027229.1)". The record is from RNAcentral. Lineage: Eukaryota; Metazoa; Chordata; Aves; Anseriformes; Anatidae.
CUCAGACUAACUUCAUUUUAGUUUGUCCCCAUGCCUGUAGUUUCCGAUCUGCUUUUGGUUUUAGCUUAUUAUUUGAGACCUAAUUUGAGCGUAACUUCUGACAAACAACAGCACGAGGCCAUAGGCUUUCUAUGCCUCUGCACUAAUACCUUUCUUUUUUUACACAUGUUGUAACAUCUCUAUGCACAGUGUAAACAUACCCUAACUAUCAAGUUUCCACUUGUUUAUCAUCAUUAAGGAAUAAUUUUCAAGUAGAAAUGAGCAAUUCUGCCUGAGAAAGAAUGUAAUCCAGCUCACGUGCCCAUACCAUUGCCAGCUUUUGUGGCAUAACCCAAACUGCAGCAUAUCCUCUUGAUUGCUUUAUGCCCUACUACAGAGGUUGUGAGUCUACUAACAUGUACUGUGUUAAGGUCCUAGUGCUUUACACACCAUGCAUGUGUAUGGUGAGCCUAUGCCCAUACUCCAAGGACUUAAGAGCAACAGAUGGACUUAUGUGCCUACUUCUCACAGGAGGUAUUACCUAAGAAGAUGGUUAUGACAGUCUGGGCCUUCUAUACUAAGUAGGAUGCAUCACUCUGCAAAUCCAUUGUUAUCCUGCCAUCAACCUGCAGACACAGAUACAGAUCUUUUCAUCUUGUUGCUUGUUUCCAGUCAAUGAGCUCCUCUAUCACAGGACAAGUGGAUUUCUGCAGCACUGCGUGGAUUGUCACUGACUCUGGAGAAGGACUUAGGGAACAUUUUCCUCACCAGUACCAGGAGGGGAAAGAGGCCGAGAGCACUGGCAGAAAGGGGAGUGCAUUGAUGGACAAGUCUGAGAGAGUUUUCAAAUUCAACUGUACAGGUUUUCCACUCUUGUGUACCCAACUCUUCUAAAAUAAUUCAAAAUUAGUUUCUUAAAUAUCUUUACUUUCUCAAUCAGUAUCUCUGGAAACAUAUUCUAGAUUUCUAGAUAUCUGAGAAUUUGUUCCUGCCAACAGAUAGCACAGAAAGUACCACAGUUUAGUCUUUUCCACUACUACAAUAUAACAUCUGGAUCUUUGGUCUCGAGGACAAAAGCUGGCUAAAACACAAAAAUUUGAAUGACAGGAUUUUUUUAAUUCUUUUUUCAUUUUUGAUCUGAGCUCACCAAAAGCUAACAUAAACAAACAAACAAAUAAAUAAAUACAUAAAGGGUUUCUCA